GACGAACGCUGGCGGCGUGCUUAACACAUGCAAGUCGUACGGUAAGGCCCUUUCGGGGGUACACGGGUGGCGAACGGGUGAGUAACACGUGAGUAACCUGCCCACAACUUUGGGAUAACGCUAGGAAACUGGUGCUAAUACUGGAUAUGUGCUCCUGCUGCAUGGUGGGGGUUGGAAAGCUCCGGCGGUUGUGGAUGGACUCGCGGCCUAUCAGCUUGUUGGUGGGGUAGUGGCCUACCAAGGCGGCGACGGGUAGCCGGCCUGAGAGGGUGACCGGCCACAUUGGGACUGAGAUACGGCCCAGACUCCUACGGGAGGCAGCAGUGGGGAAUAUUGCACAAUGGGCGCAAGCCUGAUGCGGCAACGCCGCGUGCGGGAUGACGGCCUUCGGGUUGUAAACCGCUUUCAGCAGGGACGAAGCUUUUUGUGACGGUACCUGCAGAAGAAGCACCGGCUAACUACGUG
RNAcentral lists this ribosomal RNA (465 nucleotides) under uncultured bacterium. RNAcentral describes it as "partial 16S ribosomal RNA". It matches the Rfam family "Bacterial small subunit ribosomal RNA", at positions 28 to 507 of the family's 1533-position model. The record is from RNAcentral.